This 496-nucleotide ribosomal RNA is filed under the name uncultured bacterium. RNAcentral describes it as "partial 16S ribosomal RNA". It matches the Rfam family "Bacterial small subunit ribosomal RNA", at positions 29 to 507 of the family's 1533-position model. The record is from RNAcentral.
AUGAACGCUGGCGGCGUGCCUAAUCCCUGCAAGUCGAGCGAACGGACGAGAAGCUUGCUUCUCUGAUGUUAGCGGCGGACGGGUGAGUAGCACGUGGAUAACCUACCUAUAAGACUGGGAUAACUUCGGGAAACCGGAGCUAAUACCGGAUAAUAUUUUGAACCGCAUGGUUCAAAAGUGAAAGACGGUCUUGCUGUCACCUAUAGAUGGAUCCGCGCUGCAUUAGCUAGUUGGUAAGGUAACGGCUUACCAAGGCAACGAUGCAUAGCCGACCUGAGAGGGUGAUCGGCCACACUGGAACUGAGACACGGUCCAGACUCCUACGGGAGGCAGCAGUAGGGAAUCUUCCGCAAUGGGCGAAAGCCUGACGGAGCAACGCCGCGUGAGUGAUGAAGGUCUUCGGAUCGUAAAACUCUGUUAUUAGGGAAGAACAUAUGUGUAAGUAACUGUGCACAUCUUGACGGUACCUAAUCAGAAAGCCACGGCUAACUACGUG